GUUUGUCCCAAAUAGGACGAAACGCGCGUCAAAC
This 34-nucleotide non-coding RNA is filed under the name Schistosoma mansoni. The record is from RNAcentral. Lineage: Eukaryota; Metazoa; Platyhelminthes; Trematoda; Strigeidida; Schistosomatidae.